RNAcentral lists this transfer RNA (74 nucleotides) under Candidatus Bathyarchaeota archaeon. RNAcentral's name for it is "tRNA-Lys". It matches the Rfam family "tRNA". Rfam says of the family: Transfer RNA (tRNA) molecules are approximately 80 nucleotides in length. Their secondary structure includes four short double-helical elements and three loops (D, anti-codon, and T loops). RNAcentral also lists the same sequence under 1 other name. The record is from RNAcentral. Lineage: Archaea; Thermoproteati; Candidatus Bathyarchaeota.
GCCUUCUUAGCUCAGGUUGGUAGAGCGCAUGACUUUUAAUCAUGUGGUCGUGAGUUCAACUCUCACAGAGGGUA